GUCCUUGUAAUUGGUUCCGGUCAAUCGGUUGGUCUCAAGAAUACGGGUCAAAGGGUUUGAGGCUGACAUUAUGAUCUGCAGAGAGUAAAGAUUCUAGUUAGACUUUUGUACUUUGAUCCUUAUUUGUUCUAAGGUAUUUUAAAACAAAUGUAACUUCCACUAUUUUCUCGAAUUUCUCACACUCCCCUGGUAGGAAAACGGAAAUCCUACACGACUAGGGUUUCUAGUGGGUACUGCGGUCCCACCGAUCUACAUGGCACCUCACCUAACAGUUAUUGGUGACACAUAGAUGGAUGAGUGUACAACUCUUGUACAAUGCUACUCAAGCAUGUUGCAGUGCAACUCGGUCUCUAAGCCAUGAAAACCUCACCUAACAGUUAUUGGUCACAUUUCUUAGUUAAGUCAGACCCACUGUAUAAUCGUAGGAAUAAAGUCGUCAUUGGGUCCUCACCUAACAGUUAUUGGUGCCCAACCCCACCUU
Molecule: long non-coding RNA, 481 nt
Filed under: Phoenix dactylifera (date palm)
Lineage: Eukaryota; Viridiplantae; Streptophyta; Magnoliopsida; Arecales; Arecaceae
Description: long non-coding RNA (PDAC_LNC020102)
Source: RNAcentral